Long non-coding RNA from Bombus impatiens (common eastern bumble bee), 396 nucleotides. RefSeq lists it as uncharacterized. NCBI's taxonomy places the organism in Eukaryota, Metazoa, Arthropoda, Insecta, Hymenoptera, Apidae. The transcript is spliced from 2 exons. The record is from RefSeq and is a predicted model, not a curated record.
UAAAGUACAAAUAUUUUUAAAUCUUCUUUAUUCGUAAUAUACAACAGUAAUGAGCAAACUCUGGAUUUUUUGAAAAUAUAACACAUCUCAAUCUAUGUACGUAUUUAUACAAGGAAUCAAAGACAAAAUUAAACAGCGUCCGAUUGAUGAAAAAGAAAAAAAAAGAAAAAACAGACCUAACUAUCGAAACAAAAUAACCAUGGGAAAGAUGUAUCUUAAAUUUAAAUACUAGGAAACAAACAGAACAUAUACCUAUUUGAUAUUUAUACGCUGUCAUAAAUAUUACUAUGUAUGUAUAUAUGAUAAUAUGUAGAAUUAUUUUAUAGGGUAUAUGCCCUAAAUUUGUCACUAAAAUGUAUGUAUCUUCUUGUUCUUAUUAAUAGAAUAUCAAACAUA